Molecule: long non-coding RNA, 6090 nt
Organism: Neoarius graeffei (lesser salmon catfish)
Lineage: Eukaryota; Metazoa; Chordata; Actinopteri; Siluriformes; Ariidae
Exons: 6
Source: RefSeq, a predicted model, not a curated record
AAUAUUUUUAGUGAAAUUCACCAAGGACAUUUCCAACUCUGUUACACGAAUAAACCGGCAUGUGAAACCUCUGGUUCCUUGUCUGUUUCUCUCGACCUGAUCAUUCUCGUCCCGGAUCCGAGGGGACUCACGAAGGAAUCUCGGGGUCUCUUUCUGGGUACUGGAUACUGCCAACCAGCAGAAAGUUGGUGCUAUCCUGGAACCGGCUUGGACUGAUAAAAGAAACAGACUCUCUGUUGCAAUGGUGAAGGCUGAGCUUCAAGUCAGGCUAAACUUUCAGUUGUCCUGUACUGAGUUCAAGACAUUCAUUGAAAAUCAGCCAGGACUCAUAGCAGCAGCAAAGAAAAACACCAAAUAUAAAUGGAAGAUUAGCCAAGAGCAGCAGAGGCACAAGCAAAGCACACACCACACUCUAAGCAAUCAGGUGUCCACAACCAAAAACUGUUGGAAAUAAACCAAAAUACUGAAGACCUAGCCUAGUAAACUAGACCCACCCGCCUAGCGGCCAAAAAUAUUUUUGCCUAGCGAGUGGGUCUAGCCUCGCACCAUGUAAACAAAAACACUCCGGGCAUCAAAUCGUGCCCGCCAAUCACAACGCAAGGUUUUUGUUUGGAUUCUUUGGGCGGCCUUUUGCAGGAGUGACGACAAAGCUGCGCGACGCUGGAGAAAGCGCAGCAGGAAAGAUGGCUACGGCUAGUGAACAGCGCGCGUUUGACUCCGCUUUGGAAUCAGUUUUAGAAGAAUUAGACUUGGGGUUUUCGUUGAAACAUGAGCAGGAAGAGGCUCUCCGCUCAUUCCUUUUCAAGAAGGACGUUUUUGCUGUUUUGCCGACCGGCUAUGGCAAAAGUCUGAUCUACCAGCUAGCUCCGCUCGUAGCCAAAAGGAUGGGGCUAGUUUGUGCAGUACAAAGAAUUAAUAAACAGCUUUGAAACAUUACUUUUUGAUUGUUUCUUAUUUUCCCGUUAUUUUAAAUUUAAGGGAAAUUAUUUCACCAAACACCACUAAAUAAAAACUCUCAAAAACAGUUUAAGCAAACCCUUGAAAAACACUUGGGGAAAAAAAAUGACUAUGUUAUGUAUGUGGUACAGACUCCAAACUUCUUAAUAUCUAGAACAUGUUUAUUAAUUAAUACGCAUUUUGAAAAAUUAUUUAUUUCAAGGCCUCCCCCACUGCUUUCUGUCGCUCUGACUACGUCACAGUCACUGUUGCGCUGAUUGGUCAGAGCAUUGGCCUAUACGCACAGAGAAAGUUUGAAAGACAGUGGGUUGUUCCUCCUACCCGCUUCGGAAAUGUCUACGGAUCGAGGCCAGACUAAAUAUUCACAUUUAGUCUGGCUUGCCAGGCUACUGAAGACCUGCUAUAUUAUGUAAAGCAAUUAACUAAACAAAUAACUAGCAAAAGCGUCAUUUUUACUAAUUAGAGCAAUACAGUUUCAGCGUAGAAGGGCGAUUUUUGUCUUGGGUUAGAUGUGUGAAGGGCGCCGUUGCUUACAAGCAAAAAGGUCGAUUGGAUGGUCGAAAUGUCCAGGAUUUUUGUCAGACACAGGUGGCAACCCUAGCAGCCACCAUGGGGGGAAAAUUGUCUCAUCUCAUUAUCUGUAGCCGCUUUAUCCUUCUACAGGGUCGCAGGCAAGCUGGAGCCUAUCCCAGCUGACUACGGGCAAAAGGCGGGGUACACCCUGGACAAGUCGCCAGGUCAUCACAGGGCUGACACAUAGACAACCAUUCACACCUACGGUCAAUUUAGAGUCACCAGUUAACCUAACCUGCAUGGUCAAUUUAGAGUCACCAGUUAACCUAACCUGCAUGUCUUUGGACUGUGGGGGAAACCGAAGCACCCGGAGGAAACCCACGCGGACACGGGGAGAACAUGCAAACUCUACACAGAAAGGCCCUCGCCGGCCCCGGGGCUCGAACCCAGGACCUUCUUGCUGUGAGGCGACAGCGCUAACCACUACACCACCGGAAAACUGUAUUAUAUUAAUUGUAUUAUAAAAAUUGUAUUAUUGUAUUAAGAUACCCGGACCCCGAGAAAAAAAAAAAAAAAACCACGGGAUUGGAUGUGGUUUAGCAUUCUACACAGAUUCUAGACAAUUUGGCCGGCUCAGUUUUGAUUUAUCCUCAUCCAGGUAUUUGCAAUCUCUGGGAGCUGUGUAAUGUAUCUUUAAUUGUUUUAGCAUUUAUAUAAGGCAUUACUGGAUAUGCACAAAAUAAUGAAACAACAAAUCAGUACUCUGGACAUGAACAGUUAGAACUGUGUUCCUGGUGUGCAUACAUGUCAAACCUUUGGUCAGUCAAAUCUGUAUAACCAACUUCCAAAGUCCUUAUUUCCCUUAUAAAAUCCUUAUAAGAUGCAAAUUAAAAUGAUUUACCUAAAAUUUGAAUGAUAAUUAACAAUGUUAAUUAACAAUGUUAAUGUUAAUCCCAGUUACUUUUUAGAAUCCUAGAAGAAUGAAUACAAAGCUUCAAUGUUUGACAAAAAACUACAAAGUGUAAAUGUUAUGUGCUCUUUUAUCCUCGUGGGAAUUGAUUAUAACUUUAUUUGUACGCCCGUAUACUAUGUUUAUUGAAUCAAAUCCGUAUAAAAUACGGACAUUUUGUAUAUUGUGCAUUUUAAUCUCAACGAAAGCUUCACUGAAUCGAUUCUUUAGAACAAACUCGCAUGCGUGUGAAUCAAUUUACUUGAUUCACUCUUGAUUCUUGACUCAGAAACUACGGAAACCUUAUUUGUAUUCCUGUUUUCAAAUUGUAAACAAUAAUCACACUUUCAUGCUGCAUGAAAUUAAAGCAUGAACUUUCCUCAACCAUUACGUGUGCAUGAACCCAACAAAUGCAGUCCGUGCGUCUGUAUCGAUUCGCUCGAUCGAGUCAUUUAUGUUUCGUCCCGAAGAAGAUCCGAAUCGUCUGUGAAUCUCAUCACUGUUAGAAAUCCAAGAGAAGAGAUCCUCUUCCCUUAACAUCAUCAGAGGAAAAAUCUGCUUCUUAAUCAAUUAGUUUCAGCGUUUGUCUCUUCUCGAGCAAGGCGUGGUGAGACACUUUACACAAGAUUUACGUAAGAUUAAUGAAUUGAUUGUUUCUUCUGUAAUAUCACAGGUUCCUGCCAUUAAUGAUCUCUGUUCUGCCUUUUUUUUCCACGCACAUGAGGAGAUAGCGUUUGGACUCAAGGUUUCAUUUGACUCUCCUGCUGUUUUUUUUUUUCAGCUGUAAUUCAUAAUGCGCUCUGUGACCUUCUCCCUCCCUCAGGACUCUGUGGUCUGUGUUCUGGUGUCUGCUGAGUCACCAGAAAUCUGCCAAGACACUGACACUUGCGCCUGCUCCAACAUCUGGCGCAUAAGGGCUUUAAGGUUUCCAGAACCAAGCUGCAAUAUUGCAUGGACACUUAAGUAUUUGAACUUUUGAAGUUUUGAACUUUCUCAAGGCUGUCAUUCUAGACACAAAACCUCCUCCACUGCAACAUCCUUUGACCUGGACUGACGCUAUGGUGGUCGCUUAUCACUCCCUCAGAAGCACCCUUUGUUCCGCCCCUGGGUCACCUGCUCACUUCAAGCCCUUCCACCUCUAUGCCUGUGGACACCGGGGCACAGCCUCUGGGGAACGUGAGGGGGGGGAAAUGCAUCAUUGUGCGUUUUUAUCCAAAACAUUAGACAUUGUUGCUCAAGGCUUACCUGCGUGUCUGGGGGCUGUCUCCGCAUGUGCUUUGAUGGUUUGAUGGUUGUAAAAUUGACAGACCCAUUAAAUUAAUUAAUCAGUAAUUUAAUAGAUAAUUAGAUUAACAUAUGACUGUUUAUUCUCUGUUCUACUAACAAUCUCGAAGUUCGUGUCACAUCCUCUUUUGAUAAUGUAGGUCGCGCUCUCGCACGCCUCCUUAAUUCUCGGGAUGAUAUUUGGGAUGACAUUGAUAUUGUCUGUCUAAAAAAUCGUACAUACUACUAGUAUCAGGUCUGAUCUCUUCCCUCCAGCCCUCUAGGGAUCUUUGUUGAUGGUUCUUGUUCUAAACCCUCAGACGGUUCUUGUUUUAUAAUUUAUAAUAUUAUCACACCUCUGUGGUUAUUCUGUGUGUUCAGUCAAUAUCAGCCUGAUAUUCUGCAUGAGACAUACGCUCUUCCUUUCUCAUUUGAUUUUUGUCAUCUUGAUUGUGGACAAAUUCUCUAAAUGGGUAGAAGUUUUUCCCUGUUCUCGAGAGAACACGAAGGUUUUCGUGACUCGUUUUGAUACUUUAUUAUUAUUAUUAUUAUAACUAUGAUACAUUUUAUUUAUAAGUGCCUUUCAAGGUACCUAAGAACACUGGACAGUAAAAAAGAAAAACAAACAAUAAAAGCAGAACAACAAAACAACAACAAUAAAAUAAUAAGAAAUCAAUAAUAAUUAUUAUUAUUGUUAUGGGGUUUCAAAUGCCAUAGACUCAGACAAGGGUACCCCUUUCACCUCAAAGGUCACACAAAACCUUUGUAAGUAUCUCUAAACUCUAAUCUCCAAACUAAACUGGUGUUUUCACAUUCCUAAAUCCUCUGGUAUCGUAGAACGUACUAAUCGAACAUUGAAAGACAAAUUAAUUAAGGUCAUGCAGGACACAGGUUUGAUUCUGUAAUCCAUAAGUCAUUCUGGCUGAAAUUCGUGUGACACCAAGAAAUUAUUCUCCCCUGGAAGAAGGGAACUCCGGCUCCGGGUACCUCUGAUUUGAAAAUGCAUAUGGAUGAGUAUUCUGCAGCCCUUAUAGAUAAGUUGCAUAAAAUUUGUACCAAGGUCAAUAAUACAAUAUUAUCUCCACCACACACCCCUUUCACGUGGGAGACAGGUGCUGGUGUGAUUUUUUAAAGUAAUGAUUUGGACAAUUGGGAAAACAAUAUAAUGGGCCUGCAGACAUAGUCGCCAUUACUUCUACUGCUGUUUUAACUGAUCUUUUUCCACAGUGGAUCCAUGCCACUCGAUUGAAGAAGGCUCCAUAACAAAGUUGUGUUAUAAUAACAAGUUUGCUGCUAUUAACACUUUUUGUGUCCCUAUCUAGUCUCCCUCUGGGCAGUUUUCUCUCUCUCUCUCUAAGCUCUACACAGAUUCGACUGAGAAUCCUCAAGUGAACAAAGAGGGGAAGAGAUCUUGCGCCCAGUUUGGAACCACCCCACCUCACUACAACCAUGAUGGUCCACAUCGCGGGUUUCGUGACUUCAUCAUUGCUCGGGGCAGGGCUACCCGCCCGAGCCUUCAGGACCACAUCAUUGCUCGGGGCAGGGCUACCCGCCCGAGCCUUCAGGACCACUUCAUUGCUCGGGGCAGGGUUACCCGCUCGAGCUGGACUUCAUUGCUCGGAGCACACUUGCAGGGUUACCCGCUCGAGCUGGACUUCGAGACAACAUCUUCUGGACUAACUUCGCUAACUGGACUGCACAAGCACACACCACACGAAUGUGUUAUGUCUUUCAUCUGAUGCCGUCUUCUACUAUUAUUACACAUCUCUAUGCUUUGACGAAGUGACUGUGCGAAUAAACUGGCAUGUGAAACCUCUGGUUCCUUGUCUGUUUCUCUCGACCUGAUCAUUCUCGUCCCGGAUCCGAGGGGACUCACGAAGGAAUCUCGGGGUCUCUUUCUGGGUGAACCCCAACAGCAGCGGUGUUUCUGGAUAUUGUUUAUAUCUGGUUUUAACUUGCAUUUGUGGAUGCAGUAAUGAACUGAAGUGUUUUCUGAAGUGUUCCUGAGCCCAUACAGUGAUUCCCACUACAGACACGUGUCUGCUUUUAAUGCAGUGUCACCUGAAGGCCUGAAGAUCACAGGCAUCCAAUGUCAGUUUUCAGCCUUGUCUCUUGCAUACAGAGAUUUCUCCAGAUUCUCUGAAUCUUUUAAUGAUAUUAUGUACCAUAGAUGAUGUGAUCCCCAAAUUCUUUGCAAUUUUACAUUGAGGAACGCUAUUCUUAAAUUGUUGCACUGUUUGCCCACACAGUCUUUCACAGAGCGGUGAACCCCUCCCCAUCUUUACUUUUGAGAGACUCUGCCUCUCUGGGAUGCUCUUUUUAUACCCAAAUCAUGUUACUGACCUGUUGCUAAUUAACCUCAUUUGGUUUUUUUUUUGUUUUUUUUGUAUUACAAAACUUUUUCAGUC